This 478-nucleotide ribosomal RNA is filed under the name uncultured bacterium. RNAcentral's name for it is "bacterial SSU rRNA". It matches the Rfam family "Bacterial small subunit ribosomal RNA", at positions 32 to 518 of the family's 1533-position model. The record is from RNAcentral.
AAUCAACGCUGGCGGCGUGCCUCAGACAUGCAAGUCGAACGAUUAAAGCUCUCUUCGGAGAGUGUAUAGAGUGGCGCACGGGUGAGUAACACGUAAGUAAUCUACCUUUGAGUGGGGAAUAACAGUCGGAAACGACUGCUAAUACCGCAUAAUGCAGCGGCAUCGCAAGAUGACAGUUGUUAAAGGAGCAAUCCGCUUAAAGAGGAGCUUGCGGCAGAUUAGCUAGUUGGUAAGGUAAUGGCUUACCAAGGCUACGAUCUGUAUCCGGUCUAAGAGGACGGUCGGACACACUGACACUGAAUAACGGGUCAGACUCCUACGGGAGGCAGCAGUCGGGAAUUUUGGGCAAUGGGCGAAAGCCUGACCCAGCAACGCCGCGUGAAGGAUGAAGUAUUUCGGUAUGUAAACUUCGAAAGAAUGGGAAGAAUAAAUGACGGUACCAUUUAUAAGGUCCGGCUAACUACGUGCCAGCCGCCGC